This 411-nucleotide ribosomal RNA is filed under the name uncultured microorganism. RNAcentral's name for it is "bacterial SSU rRNA". It matches the Rfam family "Bacterial small subunit ribosomal RNA", at positions 9 to 416 of the family's 1533-position model. The record is from RNAcentral.
GAGUUUGAUCUUGGCUCAGAUUGAACGCUGGCGGCAGGCCUAACACAUGCAAGUCGAACGGUAACAGGAAACAGCUUGCUGUUUCGCUGACGAGUGGCGGACGGGUGAGUAAUGUCUGGGAAACUGCCUGAUGGAGGGGGAUAACUACUGGAAACGGUAGCUAAUACCGCAUAACGUCGCAAGACCAAAGAGGGGGACCUUCGGGCCUCUUGCCAUCGGAUGUGCCCAGAUGGGAUUAGCUAGUAGGUGGGGUAACGGCUCACCUAGGCGACGAUCCCUAGCUGGUCUGAGAGGAUGACCAGCCACACUGGAACUGAGACACGGUCCAGACUCCUACGGGAGGCAGCAGUGGGGAAUAUUGCACAAUGGGCGCAAGCCUGAUGCAGCCAUGUCGCGUGUAUGAAGAAGGCC